UACGGAGGAUGCGAGCGUUAUCCGGAUUUAUUGGGUUUAAAGGGUGCGUAGGCGGGAUGCCAAGUCAGCGGUAAAAAUGCGGUGCUCAACGCCGUACAGCCGUUGAAACUGGCAGUCUUGAGUGGGCGAGAAGUAUGCGGAAUGCGUGGUGUAGCGGUGAAAUGCAUAGAUAUCACGCAGAACUCCGAUUGCGAAGGCGGCUCUCUGGUCUGCAACUGACGCUGAGGCUCGAAAGCAUGGGUAGCGAACAGG
This 252-nucleotide ribosomal RNA is filed under the name uncultured Bacteroidales bacterium. RNAcentral's name for it is "partial 16S ribosomal RNA". It matches the Rfam family "Bacterial small subunit ribosomal RNA", at positions 524 to 776 of the family's 1533-position model. The record is from RNAcentral. Lineage: Bacteria; Pseudomonadati; Bacteroidota; Bacteroidia; Bacteroidales.